RNAcentral lists this non-coding RNA (29 nucleotides) under Mus musculus (house mouse). RNAcentral also lists the same sequence under 1 other name. Lineage: Eukaryota; Metazoa; Chordata; Mammalia; Rodentia; Muridae. The record is from RNAcentral.
CUCAUCUGUAAAAUGGGGAUAAUAAUAAG